RNAcentral lists this transfer RNA (73 nucleotides) under Candidatus Pelagibacter sp. TMED202. RNAcentral's name for it is "tRNA-Met". It matches the Rfam family "tRNA". From Rfam's summary of the family: Transfer RNA (tRNA) molecules are approximately 80 nucleotides in length. Lineage: Bacteria; Pseudomonadati; Pseudomonadota; Alphaproteobacteria; Candidatus Pelagibacterales; Candidatus Pelagibacteraceae. The record is from RNAcentral.
AGUGAAGGGCAGAGGUUGUCGCACAGGACUCAUAAGCCUGGGGUCGGCGGUUCGAAUCCGCCCCUCGCUACCA